Arvicanthis niloticus (Nile rat) is the source of this 377-nucleotide long non-coding RNA. RefSeq lists it as uncharacterized. Lineage: Eukaryota; Metazoa; Chordata; Mammalia; Rodentia; Muridae. The record is from RefSeq and is a predicted model, not a curated record.
CCUUCCUGGGACACAGAAGGGUAGAAGAGUCUGGAAGGGACAGCAAAAAGAUUCAACACAGCCCAUAAAUGGCACUGAUGUCAUUGAUAUGCCUGUGUCAGAACACUUAAGUGUUUGGCGUGUGGAAGUCAGAAGAAGGUAUCAGACCCUCUGAAACUGGACUACUACAGAACCUGGGUACUCAGCAAGAGCAUCAAGUCCUCUUAACUGUUGAGCCAACUCUCUAGCCCUGUUAUUCUCAGUCGUGUGCUUACAGAAACGUUUUCAAUUCAUUCUCACCAAAUAGCGUUUCCUUUAAUUUCUUGGAGGAGCAUACCUCACUUUAAAUUGUGAACAACGAUGAAAAUAAAGGAUUGUAUUUUUCCCUUUCUCCUUCA